Molecule: long non-coding RNA, 270 nt
Organism: Osmia bicornis bicornis
Lineage: Eukaryota; Metazoa; Arthropoda; Insecta; Hymenoptera; Megachilidae
Exons: 3
Source: RefSeq, a predicted model, not a curated record
AAGAAUUGAUAAAUGUGUUUAUGAGUUAAUAAAAACUUGAAACAAGGGAAAUUAUCGGAACGAAGCCAAAGAGGUUAUGUGAACAUGUGGAAAAGAGAAUGCAAAAAUUGAGACUCUAAAUUGGCAUCAUUUAUUAUGGCUUCCAUUAUUGCAUAUAUAUGUGUAAAUGAGGCUACCACUUCUUCAGUUGGAACAGAAAGGCCUCCUCUUUCAACUGCAUGGGACCCACAGCCAGCUAUAUAUAGUACGACCGAAUCAUCUAUAACACAA